Molecule: long non-coding RNA, 1277 nt
Organism: Uloborus diversus
Lineage: Eukaryota; Metazoa; Arthropoda; Arachnida; Araneae; Uloboridae
Exons: 3
Source: RefSeq, a predicted model, not a curated record
CUUAACGCGUAGUCAAAAUGGUAGAUAUAUUGAACGGUAAUUGUCAUUCUUCGUUGAAAAUUGAAUGCAUUUUCUCCAGUUUCAUUCCAAAUUAAUAAAAUUCUCCAUGAGAUGCGACGAUGGAGAGUUCAUUCGGAAAGGUAAAAUUUGGAAUGGCUACUAAACCAAGCAAAGCUAAACAAAGAUAUAUUGCUCGAGACUAUAAAGGGAUGUCAAAAGAUGAUCUACGUCAGGAAUUGCGGAAACGUGGUAUAAAGAUUAGCGGUAAAAAGGCUGAUUUGGCAUUCCUUUUUGAUGUCUUAUAAUGAGUAUUGGGACUAAUCUAAUGCUGGUUUACUUUGCAGACUAUUUUUUUUUUUUUUUUUUUUGAAUUCUGCGUCGCUGACUGCUGAUAAUAAUUCUGCUGCUGGGCCCGGGUCUUUCAUUUAUAUUUAUAUAGGUAAUAGUAAAAUGACAGGAGUAAAGUAUAUAAUCAUUUUAAGACAUUUAAAGAAUAUGGUACAUCUUCAAUAAGUUCCAGAAUACCAAUUUCAAUUUUGUUUCACUUUGACAAAUACUGGAAAAUGGCUUCUCAAUCUCCCCAAAAUGUUAUCUUUUUCUGAAGUAGCUAGUCAAGCAAACCUAUUUUUCUCUUGUGGCUUCAUAGAAUUGGUUUGCCUUUUUCAACUUCUUACUGAAAUGUGCUUUUGGUGCUUCAUGUUUUUUUUCUCUGUUACAAGAUCCUUUACAGAAAAAGGUCCCCUAAAAAGGAUCCCAUCAUUUGGUCUUCGAGAAAACUGCUGCAUGAACUGAACAUCAAUUGUUCUCAAAAACUAAAUGGUGGUCUCCAGCUAUAAGGUGGGGAAAGAAAAAAAAAUCAAGUCAAAAAGUUCAGAAUAAAGGUUUAUCUUAAACUUUUGUUAGUAUCAAAAUAAAACAAUCAAUGCAAUGCCUACUGUGUUGAUCCCCCCCCCCCCCCCACAUGUAGUACAUAUCUUCGCCUCAGAGCAACACUAAGACAUCUAAUCCCAGGAAUAACACUAAGAGCCGCUCUGAAGAGAUGAUAUUCUAUUUCAGAUUCUUUUUCUUUUUUUUUUUUUUUUUAAAUUUUGUGUAGCUCUGUAAACUCGAUUUUCAUCAGCUAAUGAACUCCACUACCUCUGCAUCUUCAUUUGAAAAAAUUUGCAUGCUAUGCUGCUGUAGGCAGUUUGUUUCUAAGGUUAUUUUGGAGCUGUUUAAUUUAUUAGACAGGUAAAAAUGGAAUAAAAUUAGAAGAAGAAAAAAGUGUACUCUUUCGU